This 79-nucleotide transfer RNA is filed under the name Amborella trichopoda. RNAcentral's name for it is "tRNA AMTR_s03087t00273430". The record is from RNAcentral. Lineage: Eukaryota; Viridiplantae; Streptophyta; Magnoliopsida; Amborellales; Amborellaceae.
ACUACUAGUAGUACGUACAACUAGUACUAGUACUACUACUACUAGUACCAGUAGUACGUACAACUAGUACUAGUACUAC